CCCCGUGUGGCUCAGUUGGUAGAGCAUGGUGUUUGCAGCGCCAGGGUUGUGGGUUCGAUUCCCACGGGGG
Non-coding RNA from Salmo salar (Atlantic salmon), 70 nucleotides. The record is from Rfam. Lineage: Eukaryota; Metazoa; Chordata; Actinopteri; Salmoniformes; Salmonidae.